Molecule: long non-coding RNA, 368 nt
Filed under: Androctonus crassicauda
Lineage: Eukaryota; Metazoa; Arthropoda; Arachnida; Scorpiones; Buthidae
Source: RNAcentral
CUUACCAAUCACUAUUUUUUCUUGAAGGCAUAAAAGAGUUGUUUCAUUAUUAAGAUAUUUAAUUAACCCAGAACCAGAAGAUAAAAAUGGCUUGUCAGAUUUACUUCUAAUGGCUUCUCGACAGGGCACAAAGAAAUUUGCCGAAUGGACGAUUUUGAAACUUUCUCCAAAUGAAAUUCAAAAUAUGGAAACAGAAAAUCAUACUCCAGUGGUAGCAACAUCAGACCAUGAGAUACAAGAUAAUGCUAAUUUCAAAGCAAAGAAUAGUGACCUAAUGUCCAAGUACAUGAAAGAACCAAAAAAAUUACAAUUACCUAAGAAAGGUUUACGGUGUUUUAACAUAAACACUGAAUUAAAUACAUAAAACA